This 1326-nucleotide ribosomal RNA is filed under the name metagenome. RNAcentral's name for it is "bacterial LSU rRNA". It matches the Rfam family "Bacterial large subunit ribosomal RNA", at positions 1564 to 2897 of the family's 2925-position model. The record is from RNAcentral.
UGAGUACGAGACACUACGGUGUCGAAGCAGUCUAUGUCAUACUUCCAAGAAAAGCUUGCACUGUCAUAAACAAAUAAUGCCUGUACCAUAACCGACACAGGUGGGUAGGUAGAGUAUACUAAGGGGCGCGAGAUAACUCUCUCUAAGGAACUCGGCAAAAUGACUCCGUAACUUCGGGAGAAGGAGUGCCUUAUAUUUUAUAAGGUUGCAAUAACAAGAUCCAAGCAACUGUUUACCAAAAACACAGGUCUCCGCUAAGUCGUAAGACGAUGUAUGGGGGCUGACGCCUGCCCAGUGCCAGAAGGUUAAAGAAGUUGGUUAGUAUUUGCGAAGCUGAUAACUGAAGCCCUGGUGAACGGCGGCCGUAACCAUAACGGUCCUAAGGUAGCGAAAUUCCUUGUCGGGUAAGUUCCGACCCGCACGAAAGGCGUAAUGAUUUGGAUACUGUCUCGGAGAGGGACUCGGUGAAAUAGACUUGUCUGUGAAGAUGCGGACUACUUGCACCAGGACAGAAAGACCCUAUGAAGCUUUACUGUAACUUGAAAUUGAAAUUGGACUUUACUUGCGCAGUAUAGGUGGGAGGCUUUGAGAAUAUUCUUGCGGGAAUAUUGGAGCCAUUAGUGAGAUACCACUCUGGUAAUGUUAGAUUUCUAACUUUGUAUCAUUAUCUGGUCAAAGAACAGUUUCAGGCGGGCAGUUUGACUGGGGCGGUCGCCUCCUAAACGGUAACGGAGGCGCACAAAGGUUUCCUCUGAACGGGUAGAAAUCGUAUCUAGAGUGUAAAGGCAUAAGGAAGCUUGACUGUGAGACCUACAAGUCGAGCAGGGACGAAAGUCGGUCUUAGUGAUCUGACGGUGCUGAGUGGAAAGGCCGUCACUCAACGGAUAAAAGUUACUCUAGGAUAACAGGCUGAUCUCCCCCAAGAGUUCACAUCGACGGGGAGGUUUGGCACCUCGAUGUCGGCUCAUCGCAUCCUGGGGCGGUAGUACGUCCCAAGGGUUGGGCUGUUCGCCCAUGAAAGCGGUACGCGAGCUGGGUUCAGAACGUCGUGAGACAGUUCGGUCCAUAUCCGGUGUAAGCGUUAGAAUAUUGAGAGGAGCCUUCUUUAGUACGAGAGGACCGAGAAGGAUGCACCGCUGGUGUACCAGUUAUUGUGCCAACAGUAAACGCUGGGUAGCUAUGUGUGGAGUGGAUAACCGCUGAAAGCAUCUAAGUGGGAAGCCCACCUCAAGAUAAGUAUUCUUAUCACGUAAGUGAAUAAGGUCACGGUAAGACUAACCGUUUGAUAGGCAUUAAGUGUAAAUCUAGUAAUAGACGAGCUGAGAU